Molecule: ribosomal RNA, 205 nt
Filed under: Clostridioides difficile
Lineage: Bacteria; Bacillati; Bacillota; Clostridia; Peptostreptococcales; Peptostreptococcaceae
Description: partial 16S ribosomal RNA
Rfam family: Bacterial small subunit ribosomal RNA
Source: RNAcentral
GAGUUACUAGUAAUCGCAGAUCAGAAUGCUGCGGUGAAUGCGUUCCCGGGUCUUGUACACACCGCCCGUCACACCACGGGAGUUGGAGACGCCCGAAGCCGACUAUCUAACCUUUUGGAAGAAGUCGUCGAAGGUGGAAUCAAUAACUGGGGUGAAGUCGUAACAAGGUAGCCGUAUCGGAAGGUGCGGCUGGAUCACCUCCUUU